Zea mays is the source of this 662-nucleotide long non-coding RNA. RefSeq lists it as uncharacterized. The record is from RefSeq and is a predicted model, not a curated record. The transcript is spliced from 4 exons. Lineage: Eukaryota; Viridiplantae; Streptophyta; Magnoliopsida; Poales; Poaceae.
AGUGGCACUACACGCUCUUUCCUCCAGUGUGGCCCACGACUCCCAUGCCUACACGGUCAUGCUCACGGCAAUGUCCUCGUCCUCGUCCAAGAAGUCUAACUUCUUUGGCCACGCGUGGGAUAGAGCACGUGGCAAGUCUGACGUUGAAAGGAUCUGCAAGGAAGUCUUCGAGGACCUGUCAGACAAGAACACGGGGCUCCUGGACAUCACAACUUUUGUAGCAUGAUUUAUUCAUACAGUUCAUUUUUUCUUGUUCAGUAGUCAGCACGUUGGUCUAAAAUUCCAGUUCAGUAAAGCUGCAUUGCCUCAUUUAUUUGAUUUCUACAUCAAUACUUCAUUGAUUUACAUAUCGCCAUGAUAUAACUUGAAUUUUAAACAUCUUAACAGGUAUAUGCAUGUGCAUAAUGUCGAACUGAAAUUGAAAACUAAAUACUUGUAGCGGCUGUUCUGUUCGCCUUAUCACUAGGAAAGUAGUACAUUGGAUGGGAGCAUGUUUCUGAUAGACAGCUAAUUAUUUGGCUUCAUUCAAGAUUGUGAUGAUUUGUAGUAAUGAAUUGGAGGCUUCGAUCCACUGCAAUUUAUGUGGUACAAGGGUUUUGUUUGAGAAGGCGAAUGAGAUUCUAAUGGAGGAAAGAAAUGUUCAGUGUGAGUAUUUCCACCAC